This is a long non-coding RNA of Limulus polyphemus (Atlantic horseshoe crab), 622 nucleotides long. RefSeq lists it as uncharacterized. The transcript has 2 exons. Lineage: Eukaryota; Metazoa; Arthropoda; Merostomata; Xiphosura; Limulidae. The record is from RefSeq and is a predicted model, not a curated record.
CCGUACGCAGAAUGUUUGAAUGAUGAUUUCUAAUUUGUGAGAUCAAAAGCCAACACAUAUUGUGCUAAGCACAAUAUGCUAACUACAGAGUUACUGUAACACCCUUGAUUUAGAGACUAACAACAGAGCAACUGAGCAAAGCCACAGUGGGUGAUCUGCUGUAUCCAUCGUGAGGAAUUGAACUCCGGAUUUUAGCGUUGUUAUGUCUGAAGACUUACCGCAGUCCCGCCUGGGAACGAGAUGUACCGAGAAAAUAACUUCUAUGUCAUCACCUCAGUUGAAAGCAAGGACCACAGUAAAUGUGGUUUUUCACUAUUGUGUUCUUUUUGUGUGUUAAAACAAAGGAUUACAUACAUUCCUUAUCUUCAUUCUAAUAAAAAUACAUAUUUCCAUAAACUACAAAACAGACGGGCAACAAGAGACCAUCUGGUCCUUCAAGGCUCUCCUUGCACACCCACACAUGAGAAAAGUAAACAUUUAAACCCUGCCUCCCUUUAUUUUUCUGGAAAUAGUUGAUUCCAUUCCUAAACUCCUGUAAAGUGCUGGCCUUUACUACUGACAAAAGCAACUCAUUUCAUAAGCUUACCAUCCUGUUAUAAAAAAUAAAACAGUCUUAACUGGA